RNAcentral lists this long non-coding RNA (231 nucleotides) under Citrus maxima (pomelo). Its description in RNAcentral is "long non-coding RNA (CMAX_LNC001048)". Lineage: Eukaryota; Viridiplantae; Streptophyta; Magnoliopsida; Sapindales; Rutaceae. The record is from RNAcentral.
GGCGAAAUCAUCAUCCAAGUGAGUUAACCUCUUCAUUGAGUUAGCAAAGCUGGCCUUUCGGACCGUGCAGAAGCGUCUCUAGUGAUGAAGAAAGGUGAAGAAAAAGAAGUUUCAGUCACUAAAGUUGAUCCAUGUGAUUUUCUAGUUUUGGUUGCUAUCUUCGGUUUCAUUUUUAUUUGCAAAUGUGUUUUAUGCAUUCUGGCAACAAAAAAGUGUUGUCAAGCUCCAGGU